Molecule: ribosomal RNA, 605 nt
Filed under: uncultured bacterium
Lineage: Bacteria
Description: bacterial SSU rRNA
Rfam family: Bacterial small subunit ribosomal RNA
Source: RNAcentral
GGACGGGUGAGUAACACGUAAAGACUUGCCCUGCAGUCUGGGACAACUACUGGAAACGGUAGCUAAUACCGGAUAUUGCCGCAUGGCGAAAGCUAUAUGCGCUGCAGGAGAGCUUUGCGUCCCAUUAGUUAGUUGGUGAGGUAACGGCUCACCAAGACCGCGAUGGGUAGCCGGCCUGAGAGGGUGAACGGCCACAAGGGGACUGAGACACGGCCCUUACUCCUACGGGAGGCAGCAGUGGGGAAUAUUGGACAAUGGACCAAAGUCUGAUCCAGCAAUUCUGUGUGCACGAUGAGGUCUUAGGAUUGUAAAGUGCUUUCAAUCGGGAAAAAGAAAGUGAUGGUACCGAUAGAAGAAGCGACGGCUAAAUACGUGCCAGCAGCCGCGGUAAUACGUAUGUGCAAGCGUUAUCCGGAUUUAUUGGGCGUAAAGCGCGUCUAGGCGGUUUGGUAAGUCUGAUGUGGAAAUGCGGGGCUCAACUCCGUAUUGCGUUGGAAACUGCCAGACUAGAGUACUGGAGAGGUGGGCGGAACUACAAGUGUAGAGGUGAAAUUCGUAGAUAUUUGUAGGAAUGCCGAUAGAGAAGUCAGCUCACUGGACAGAUA